Molecule: ribosomal RNA, 253 nt
Filed under: uncultured bacterium
Lineage: Bacteria
Description: partial 16S ribosomal RNA
Rfam family: Bacterial small subunit ribosomal RNA
Source: RNAcentral
UACGGGGGGUGCGAGCGUUGUCCGGAAUCACUGGGCGUAAAGGGCGCGUAGGCGGCUUAUCAAGUCAGGCGUGAAAUUCCCGGGCUCAACCUGGGGGCUGCGCUUGAUACUGAUUGGCUUGAAUGCGGGAGAGGAUAGUGGAAUUCCCAGUGUAGAGGUGAAAUUCGUAGAUAUUGGGAAGAACACCGGUGGCGAAGGCGGCUAUCUGGCCCGUAAUUGACGCUGAGGAGCGAAAGCAUGGGGAGCGAACAGG